RNAcentral lists this long non-coding RNA (242 nucleotides) under Lathyrus oleraceus (garden pea). Its description in RNAcentral is "Pisum sativum (pea) long non-coding RNA (PSAT_LNC026482)". Lineage: Eukaryota; Viridiplantae; Streptophyta; Magnoliopsida; Fabales; Fabaceae. The record is from RNAcentral.
AUCGGCUCUCCACGUAGUUUGCUAUUAAGAUGGUGCCGACUUCUCGUAUAAACUACUCGGGGUUACUAUAGGACUAAAAGUUCAAGGAAUUGGUAUAAUAGGUACUUAGACUGAUCUAACAUGCUGAGGUUGUUAGAGUGUUGGGGUGGUAAUAAUUUUGUCUUAAUUUCACUCAAGUUUUAUAAAAUAAGCAACCUUUAUACUUAUUGAGUGUGUUGAAUUUUGUUAUGGCUCAAGAAAAU